UGGGGAAUCUUGCUCAAUGGGCGCAAGCCUGAAGCAGCGACGCCGCGUGUGGGAAGAAGGUCUUCGGAUUGUAAACCACUUUCAGGAGGGAAGAAGCGCAAGUGACGGUACCUCCAGAAGAAGCCCCGGCCAACUACGUGCCAGCAGCCGCGGUAAUACGUAGGGGGCAAGCGUUGUCCGGAAUUAUUGGGCGUAAAGAGCUCGUAGGCGGCCCAACAAGUCGAAUGUGAAAUCUCAAGGCUCAACCUUGAAAUUGCAUCCGAUACUGCUGGGCUUGAGGCAGGUAGGGGAAAGUAGAAUUCCUGGUGUAGCGGUGAAAUGCGCAGAUAUCAGGAGGAACACCGGUGGCGAAGGCGGCUUUCUGGGCCUGUACUGACGCUGAGGAGCGAAAGCGUGGGGAGCAAACAGG
RNAcentral lists this ribosomal RNA (409 nucleotides) under uncultured prokaryote. RNAcentral describes it as "bacterial SSU rRNA". It matches the Rfam family "Bacterial small subunit ribosomal RNA", at positions 355 to 776 of the family's 1533-position model. The record is from RNAcentral.